AGUCGAGCGGUAACAGGGGUAGCUUGCUACCCGCUGACGAGCGGCGGACGGGUGAGUAAUGCAUAGGAAUCUGCCCGAUAGUGGGGGAUAACCUGGGGAAACCCAGGCUAAUACCGCAUACGUCCUACGGGAGAAAGGGGGCUCCGGCUCCCGCUAUUGGAUGAGCCUAUGUCGGAUUAGCUAGUUGGUGAGGUAAAGGCUCACCAAGGCGACGAUCCGUAGCUGGUCUGAGAGGAUGAUCAGCCACAUCGGGACUGAGACACGGCCCGAACUCCUACGGGAGGCAGCAGUGGGGAAUAUUGGACAAUGGGCGAAAGCCUGAUCCAGCCAUGCCGCGUGUGUGAAGAAGGCCCUAGGGUUGUAAAGCACUUUCAGCGAGGAAGAACGCCUAGUGGUUAAUACCCAUUAGGAAAGACAUCACUCGCAGAAGAAGCACCGGCUAACUCCGUGCCAGCAGCCGCGGUAAUACGGAGGGUGCAAGCGUUAAUCGGAAUUACUGGGCGUAAAGCGCGCGUAGGUGGCUUGAUAAGCCGGUUGUGAAAGCCCCGGGCUCAACCUGGGAACGGCAUCCGGAACUGUCAAGCUAGAGUGCAGGAGAGGAAGGUAGAAUUCCCGGUGUAGCGGUGAAAUGCGUAGAGAUCGGGAGGAAUACCAGUGGCGAAGGCGGCCUUCUGGACUGACACUGACACUGAGGUGCGAAAGCGUGGGUAGCAAACAGGAUUAGAUACCCUGGUAGUCCACGCCGUAAACGAUGUCGACCAGCCGUUGGGUGCCUAGCGCACUUUGUGGCGAAGUUAACGCGAUAAGUCGACCGCCUGGGGAGUACGGCCGCAAGGUUAAAACUCAAAUGAAUUGACGGGGGCCCGCACAAGCGGUGGAGCAUGUGGUUUAAUUCGAUGCAACGCGAAGAACCUUACCUACUCUUGACAUCCUGCGAACUUGUGAGAGAUCACUUGGUGCCUUCGGGAACGCAGAGACAGGUGCUGCAUGGCUGUCGUCAGCUCGUGUUGUGAAAUGUUGGGUUAAGUCCCGUAACGAGCGCAACCCUUGUCCUUAUUUGCCAGCGCGUAAUGGCGGGAACUCUAAGGA
Molecule: ribosomal RNA, 1089 nt
Filed under: Vreelandella venusta
Lineage: Bacteria; Pseudomonadati; Pseudomonadota; Gammaproteobacteria; Oceanospirillales; Halomonadaceae
Description: bacterial SSU rRNA
Rfam family: Bacterial small subunit ribosomal RNA
Source: RNAcentral